This 664-nucleotide ribosomal RNA is filed under the name Streptomyces radicis. Its description in RNAcentral is "bacterial LSU rRNA". It matches the Rfam family "Bacterial large subunit ribosomal RNA", at positions 1 to 586 of the family's 2925-position model. The record is from RNAcentral. Lineage: Bacteria; Bacillati; Actinomycetota; Actinomycetes; Kitasatosporales; Streptomycetaceae.
ACAGUGGACGCGAGCAUCUGUGGCCAAGUUUUUAAGGGCGCACGGUGGAUGCCUUGGUACCAGGAACCGAUGAAGGACGUGGGAGGCCGCGAUAGUCCCCGGGGAGUUGUCAACCGAGCUGUGAUCCGGGGGUUUCCGAAUGGGGAAACCCGGCAGUCGUUAUGGGCUGUCACCUGCCGCUGAAUGUAUAGGCGGUGUGGAGGGAACGCGGGGAAGUGAAACAUCUCAGUACCCGCAGGAAGAGAAAACAACCGUGAUUCCGGGAGUAGUGGUGAGCGAAACCGGAUGAGGCUAAACCGUUUGUGUGUGAUACCCGGCAGGGGUUGCGCAGGCGGGGUUGUGGGAGCAUGCUUGAUCGUUCUGCCGGACGGUCGGGGAGUAAGAAACCAUUGUGGUAGUCGAAGGGCAUGCGAAAGGCCCGGCGUAGAGGGUAAGACCCCCGUAGACGAAAUUGUGAUGGCUCUCUUGUGUGUUUCCCAAGUAGCACAGGGCCCGAGAAAUCCUGUGUGAAUCUGGCGGGACCACCCGUUAAGCCUAAAUAUUCCCUGGUGACCGAUAGUGGAUAGUACCGUGAGGGAAUGGUGAAAAGUACCGCGGGAGCGGAGUGAAAGAGUUCCUGAAACCGUGUGCCUACAAGCCGUGGGAGCGUCGCACAUCGGGCUUG